CAAAAUUGAAAUUUGGAAAGAGCAGAAAAAAGAGGAACGAUGGGGAAGAAAAAAAAGAAGAAAAACGUGAAGAAGAAAAAUGUGAAAUUUUAUUUUUCUAUUUUAAAAAUAACUUCCCCUUUUAAAAUAAAAUAAAAUAACAUAAAAAAAUAACUAUAAAAAACACUUACAGGGAUUCAAACACGAGACCCUAAGAUACACUAACACACAACUAAC
This 216-nucleotide long non-coding RNA is filed under the name Gossypium raimondii (Peruvian cotton). RNAcentral describes it as "long non-coding RNA (GRAI_LNC001093)". Lineage: Eukaryota; Viridiplantae; Streptophyta; Magnoliopsida; Malvales; Malvaceae. The record is from RNAcentral.